Molecule: unclassified non-coding RNA, 324 nt
Filed under: Senecio doronicum
Lineage: Eukaryota; Viridiplantae; Streptophyta; Magnoliopsida; Asterales; Asteraceae
Description: partial external transcribed spacer
Source: RNAcentral
UAUCGUCUUGAGCGUAUUGUGGUUUCCUGUGUUGCAUACCUAACUAAUGGUAUCGUUUUGAUUGAUCGAAGUCCCUUUUCAUCCUGUGUUUGCCUUUGCGACGCAUGAUGAACCUCGAAGUAGUCUCUAUGUUCCACCACGUUGAUGCUGGUGUUUUGAUGUUGUGGCCCAUUGAGCUUUGCUUGGUUUCAUGGAUACAGAACAUGAUUUGGGCAUAGGGUCACUCGUGACUCUUGAUUUGUCCUUUAUCUGUGUUCUUUAUAACGACGGUUCAUGCGCGCCUAGGCUCGUACCUGCGCGAUGUUCUUUGUCGAAGAGGAAUGC